UACGUAGGGGGCAAGCGUUGUCCGGAAUCAUUGGGCGUAAAGCGCGCGUAGGCGGCCCGGUAAGUCCGCUGUAAAAGUCCAGGGCUCAACCCUGGAAAGCCGGUGGAUACUGUCGGGCUAGAGUCCGGAAGAGGCGAGUGGAAUUCCUGGUGUAGCGGUGAAAUGCGCAGAUAUCAGGAGGAACACCAGUGGCGAAGGCGACACGCUGGGCCGUACCUGACGCUAAAGCGCGACAGCAUGGGGAGCAAACGGG
This 253-nucleotide ribosomal RNA is filed under the name uncultured bacterium. RNAcentral describes it as "partial 16S ribosomal RNA". It matches the Rfam family "Bacterial small subunit ribosomal RNA", at positions 524 to 776 of the family's 1533-position model. The record is from RNAcentral.